UGGACCGAGAAUAUGGGUUGGUGGUGCAUGUAUAAGGAAGGGCGUUAGGGGAUGGCAAAUAAGAGCAUGCGGCUCAGUCUUAAGACAAAAGACUAUAACUGAAAACAGAUUCCUUACCUACGGCUUACAAAGAUUUUUUACCCACGGCUUACACAUGUCUUGACAAAGACAAAGAUUUAUUACCCACGGCUUACAAGUCUUAAAGACCAAAGACUUUUCUGUUUUCAGUUAUUUGAACGGUACAGUUUGAGAAAGUCCUAAGACAAGGACUAUAACUGAAAACAUUGUCCCUUGCUGCCUCUAAAAGAAACUUAUGCCAUCCCCUAAUGGACCGAGAAUAUGGGUUGGUGGUGCAUGUAUAAAGAAGGGCGUUAGGGGAUGGCAAAUAAGAGCAUGCGGCUCAGUCUUAAGACAAAAGACUAUAAAUGAAAACAGAUUCCUUACCCACGGCUUACAAAGAUUUUUACCCACGGCUUACACAUGUCUUGACAAAGACAAAGAUUUAUUACCCACGGCUUACAAGUCUUAAAGACCAAAGACUUUUCUGUUUUCAGUUAUUUGAAUGGUACAGUUUGAGAAAGUCCUAAGACAAGGACUAUAACUGAAAACAUUGUCCCUUGCUACCUCUAAAAGAAACUUAUGCCAUCCCCUAUAGCAAGAUUGUUAAAUGGACCGAGAAUAUGAGUUGGUGGUGCAUGUAUAAAGAAGGGCGUUAGCCCUAUAGCAAGAUUGUUAAAUGGACCAUGAAUAUGAGUUGGUGGUGCAUGUAUAAAGAAGGACGUUAGGGGAUGGCAAAUAAGAGCAUGCGGCUCAGUCUUAAGACAAAAGACUAUUUGAAAACAGAUUUCUUAUCCACAUCUUACAAAGAUUUAUUACCCACGGCUUACACAUGUCUUGGCAAAGAUUUGUUACCCACGGCUUACAAGUCUUAAAGACCAAAGACUUUUCUGUUUUCAGUUAUUUGAAUGGUACAGUUUGAGAAAGUCCUAAGACAAGGAUUAUAACUGAAAACAAUGUCCCUUGCUGCCUCUAAAAAAAACUUAUGCCAUCCCCUAAUGGAUCGAGAAUAUGGGUUGGUGGUGCAUGUAUAAAGA
Molecule: long non-coding RNA, 1094 nt
Filed under: Brassica napus (rape)
Lineage: Eukaryota; Viridiplantae; Streptophyta; Magnoliopsida; Brassicales; Brassicaceae
Description: long non-coding RNA (BNAP_LNC006404)
Source: RNAcentral